GACGAACCGUGCGAACGUUAUUCGGAAUCACUGGGCGUAAAGGGCGCGUAGGCGGCUCAUGAAGGCUGUGGUGAAAGUCCGGGGCUCAACCUCGGAUCGGCCGUGGCGACUCGUGGGCUGGAGCACUGUAGAGGCGGGUGGAAUUCCGGGUGUAGCGGUGGAAUGCGUAGAGAUCCGGAGGAACACCAGUGGCGAAGGCGGCCCGCUGGGCAGUGGCUGACGCUGAGGCGCGACAGCGUGGGGAGCAAACAGG
RNAcentral lists this ribosomal RNA (253 nucleotides) under uncultured bacterium. Its description in RNAcentral is "partial 16S ribosomal RNA". It matches the Rfam family "Bacterial small subunit ribosomal RNA", at positions 524 to 776 of the family's 1533-position model. The record is from RNAcentral.